CGUAGGUGGCGAGCGUUGUCCGGAAUUACUGGGUGUAAAGGGCGCGUAGGCGGGGAUGUAAGUCAGAUGUGAAAUACCAUGGCUCAACCGUGGGCUGCAUCUGAAACUAUGUUUCUUGAGUGCUGGAGAGGAAGCGGAAUUCCUAGUGUAGCGGUGAAAUGCGUAGAUAUUAGGAGGAACACCAGUGGCGAAGGCGGCUUUCUGGACAGUAACUGACGGCUGAAGGCGCGAAAGCGUGGGGAGCGAACAGGAUU
This 254-nucleotide ribosomal RNA is filed under the name uncultured bacterium. RNAcentral's name for it is "partial 16S ribosomal RNA". It matches the Rfam family "Bacterial small subunit ribosomal RNA", at positions 526 to 779 of the family's 1533-position model. The record is from RNAcentral.